RNAcentral lists this unclassified non-coding RNA (328 nucleotides) under soil metagenome. Its description in RNAcentral is "partial contains 5.8S ribosomal RNA, internal transcribed spacer 2, and large subunit ribosomal RNA". The stretch from base 1 to 120 matches the Rfam family "5.8S ribosomal RNA", at positions 35 to 154 of the family's 154-position model. The record is from RNAcentral.
GAUGAAGAACGCAGCGAAAUGCGAUACGUAAUGUGAAUUGCAGAAUUCAGUGAAUCAUCGAGUCUUUGAACGCACAUUGCGCCCCCUGGUAUUCCGAGGGGCAUGCCUGUUCGAGCGUCAUUAUAACCCUCAAGCUCAGCUUGGUGUUGGGGCCUGCUGCACUGGCAGCCCUUAAAAUCAGUGGCGGCGCCAUCUGGCUCUAAGCGUAGUAAUUCUUCUCGCUAUGGAGUCCUGGUGGAUGCUUGCCAUCAACCCCCAAUUUUUCUAUGGUUGACCUCGGAUCAGGUAGGGAUACCCGCUGAACUUAAGCAUAUCAAUAAGCGGAGGA